Molecule: transfer RNA, 92 nt
Filed under: Gammaproteobacteria bacterium
Lineage: Bacteria; Pseudomonadati; Pseudomonadota; Gammaproteobacteria
Description: tRNA-Ser
Rfam family: tRNA
About the family: Transfer RNA (tRNA) molecules are approximately 80 nucleotides in length. Their secondary structure includes four short double-helical elements and three loops (D, anti-codon, and T loops).
Source: RNAcentral
GGAGAGGUACCGAAGCGGGCACAACGGCGCGGACUCGAAAUCCGUUGGGGGCCUCAUGUCCCACGUGGGCUCGAAUCCCCCCCUCUCCACAA